RNAcentral lists this long non-coding RNA (214 nucleotides) under Gossypium barbadense (sea-island cotton). Its description in RNAcentral is "long non-coding RNA (GBAR_LNC021334)". The record is from RNAcentral. Lineage: Eukaryota; Viridiplantae; Streptophyta; Magnoliopsida; Malvales; Malvaceae.
UUCAAUGCGGGUCCACAGAUCAUUUCAUCUGAGAUUGUCCAAAAAGUGAAUGUGCUAUACCUACAUCAUCUCAGAUAUCAAUGCCUACUACUAGAGGCAGAGGGUUAGGUAGAGGUAGUUCGGUAUCCAGAGGUGAAGGUGUUCGUAGAAGUAGUAACAUAGUUACACAACAGUCAGAGGCAAGAGCACCAGCCAGGGCCUAUGUAGUUCGGAC